CGUGUUCAGUUCGGCUACCUGCGGGUGCUGCUCAGUGGAGGGUGAUAGAGACUGAGAGAGAGAGAGAGAGUCCUGGAUGGAGAACUACAGCUCACUCUCCCGUAUCCAAGCCUUAUUUCGGAUUUUUUGGCUUCAGAACUGAAGUGAACGGAACGGUGUUGGAAGCGGUGCCGAUAAGAUCGAGAUUAGAAGAAUGUGGUAGGACUGUUGGGACCUCGUAGUGGAGACAAGGGAAAACAUCAAAGUGUGUGAGUGUGAGAGCGUUCCGGCUGUUCUGAAGAGAGGGGGGGUGAACUUCAGGUGCCCACCCCUCCAGGGUGAGCUUGACUUCGUGGCAAUGAUGAGUCGCGAUGUGGCAUGGCUGUCCUGCCUGCAUCUGCUGUGUGGCAUGUCCAGCCUGUGGGCGUAUCCUUUCAGACCCCCAUUGGACCUGGACAUCACUCCCAGAACCACUGUCCUCUCAAACGGGCUGUGGGGGUGUAGGCGCUUCAGUGGCACUGCACUGAACUACAGCACGCUAUUGCUGGAGGAGGAGGCUGGAGUGCUGUAUGUUGGAGCCAGAGGGGCUCUGUAUGCCCUGCAGGCCGAUAAUAUCUCCAACUCCAGUCAGACGAUUGACUGGGAGGCACCAGAAGAUCAGAAGCAGCUCUGCCUUAACAAAGGGAAAGAUAACAAGACAGAGUGUUUUAACCAUAUCCGCUUCCUGCAGAGAUUCAACAGCACCCACUUAUAUACUUGUGGGACUCAUGCAUUCAGCCCACUGUGUGCAUAUAUUGAUGAUAAAGAGUUUAGGAUUUCCUCUGUGUUUGAGGAAGGUCGGGAGAGGUGCCCUUAUGACCCUGCUAAAGGCUACACCGGCCUGCUUAUUGAUGGGCAAAUUUACACAGCGUCUCAGUACGAGUUCUGGAGCUCUCCAGACAUUCGCCGGAACUCGCCGAACCCCACACUGAGGACAGAGGAGGCCCCCACACGCUGGCUUUAUGAGGCUGAUUUUGUGGGCUCUGCGCUGGUGAGAGAGAGUGUGAACAGCUCUGUGGGAGACGACGAUAAGAUCUAUUUCUUUUUCACGGAAAAGAGUCAGGAACACAGUCCGUACUUCAGCCACAGCAGGGUGGCGCGGGUGGGCCGUGUGUGUAAGAGUGACAGAGGAGGUCUUCUGACCCUACAGAAGAAGUGGACGUCCUUCCUGAAGGCCCGGCUGGUGUGCUCUCUGCCUGAUUAUGAGUUCCACUUUAACGUGUUGCGCAGUGUGUUCGUGCUGGAGGGUCUCAGGACUCAGGACACAGUGCUUUAUGGCAUCUUCGGCCUGGAGUGGAAAAACGUCAAAGCUUCAGCCAUCUGCCGCUACUCCAUCACUGAUAUCCAGCAGGCCUUCGACGGGCCCUACAUGGAGAGUCAGGAGGACACCAGUGCCAAAUGGACAGAGUACUCAGGGAAGGUGCCUGAGCCACGGCCCGGCUCGUGCAUCACGGAUCGGCUCAGGGCCAGAGGCAUCAACUUCUCCACUGACCUGCCAGAUGACGUGCUGCACUUUGUCCGCCGCCACCCUCUCAUGGCCAAGCAGAUCCUCCCUGUGGGAGGACGCCCCCUACUGUUUAGGAGGUCUGUGGACUACUCUAAGAUCGCUGUGCACAGAGUGACUGCUCUGGAUGGCCAGACAUACCAUAUGCUCUUCAUUGGAACAGAUGAGGGCUGGCUACAGAGAGCAGUGGAGGUUAAAGGUCAACUCCACAUCAUCGAAGAGCUGCAGCUGUUUGAAGAGCCGCAGCCUGUGGACAGCAUAGUCAUCUCCCAGAAACAGAUGAGCGUGUACGUGGGCUCGCAGUCCGCAGUCGUGCAGCUGCCCCUGUCUACGUGUCACAGGUACUCCUCCUGUUUCGACUGUGUAUUAGCACGGGACCCUUUCUGUGCUUGGGACGGGGAGGAGUGUGUGGAGAUCACCUCACACACUGACAGAUUCAAUCUGACUCAAGACAUCCUGAAUGGGAAUGAGGGCUGUGAGAACUCUGCAGCAGAUGACCUGGUGUUCCAUCGCGUUCGCUCAGUGAUGGCAGGGGAUGACGUGCUGCUGCAGUGUGAGCUCAGCUCCAAUUUGGCCACCCCACAGUGGACGCUGCAUGGGCAGGAGCUGCAGGGAUACGGACUCAACUCCGGCUACCGCAUCGGCACUGAUGGCCUGUUGGUGAUCGAGGCACGGCCAGACCAGAGCGGCGACUACAGCUGCUUCGCUUUGGAGAGCGGCGUCCGUGUCCCUGUGGUGAUCUACACUCUGACUGUCCGUCAUGACCUGCCUCCUGUACCUCCCAUAGAUAUGACCCACCCACCUCACCAGAGUGGUACCAUCCAUCGCACUGCGCAAACAUCCAACAGAAGCAACCUGACCCUGCACCCGGCUCCUGCGCCCCAUCCUCCACAGCUAGAGUUCCUGUCCUUAAGGAACAUGGAGGCCAUGUACCUUUCCCUGAUCACCAUCCUGGGUGGGCUGUGCCUGGUCUUGACCGUAGUCCUGCUGUAUGUUGGUUUCUGUGUGCAGACCAGAAGGGGGAAAUACUCUCUCCGGGCCGCAGCCCAAGCUGAAAGGAAGAGGAGUGGCCACAUGGAGCUGAAGACCAUUUCCAGCCACUGUAAUGGUAAUGUGGACACACAUGAUGGCCUACUGCAGAUUGUUCCUGGAGAAGCACGGGCAUCUCCCAAUAAAGACUUGCCGCCUGCACCCCCGCUGCCUCCACCUCCGCCAAACUCGGAGUCGGAAUACACGAAUGGCCUGUCAGCCACCCUGCCCAGCGUCUUACGCAAAAUGAACGGCAAUAGCUAUGUGUUGCUUAGGCAAAGUGAUGGAGACACCACGUCUCCUCUAUACUACUCUUUCACUGAAGAGCUCAACCGCAUCCUGGAGAAGAGGAAGCACACGCAGCUGUGUAACAAACCGGAUGAGAGCUCAGUAUAAUAGCUUCCAAAACAUUAGAACUCCCCCUGUGGUCGGGUGGUUUUACUGCAAGUGUCUGCAGAAAUGCAAGAGGGCAGUUUGAUUCAUCUAAAAUCUAACUGAAAUGGAAAAGAGGUUGAUUGAUGAAGCUCUUAAACGUUUUUGAACGAUAAGACAAGUGUCCUAUAUUCCUGCCCAAUGGCAUUUUCAAAACUGGUCUAUUGUUGUGAAGCGAACAAUACUCACUGAACUUGAAAAACAUGAAUAGAACAAAAGUUGCGAGUCAUAACUCACACAAUGGAUAAUCUACCUCGAAAGAACUUUGGACACAUCUGGGACGAUAUCAAUGUGUUCCACCGGGUGAGGCAAACUAGGCAUGAUGAGAUCAGAGCAACAGAAGCUUUUGCAUCUACUUCAACAGAGUGGUCUGUGUGGUGAGACCACUGUGUGAAAUACAAAGCCGAAGGCCUAGGCAGCAGGACACAGCCUUGUGGAGUAUUUCUUCUUUUCAGUUAAAAGAACCACUAGCUGAAGUCUGUAUAUUUCCAGAUAAACAUUUGUUCUAGACAUGGCUGCUUUUGAGCAAUACUGCUGAAGUGCAUUCAAUGUCAUAUUGCUUUUGUUGUGAUGUUCUGUUAUUUAUGUCAACACUGAUCACACCAGUGACCUGUCAAUAACCCAAACUAACAAAUGCACUGCACUUAAUGUAGCAGUGAACACUGAAAGAGACUAAUAUUGUGUGAGUCCAGCUUUUAUGGCUAAUGUUUAAGAAAAUGUGAGGAUGACAGUAUUAACUACUGGGAUGCACUUUAGUAGCAAUGAGCAUUUACCAGAAAAUGUGCUGGUUCCGAAAGACAUUGGGAAUGUUAUGGAUCAGAAUGGAAGUCCUGGUUCUGGAUCUUUCACCAAUCAACACCAUCAGUGGACCGAAGACCAUAGUCAAAAGUUCUUUACUAACCACUACAACGAACAUUUUUAACUAUGAACCACCACAUUAAUUUGUUUACAGUGACAUCCAUUCCACAGUAAAGCAAUUGAAACACAAAGUAAAGUGUGACCCUUUCAGCAAUUCAGACCCGGUCUGUGUCUUGUGUGGUUAGCUUAUGGCUGAAUCAGUGUUCAUAGAAACAGACACAGUUCCCUGCUGACUUCAUUGGAGCCCCAGAAAUUCCAGGCUGCCAGUUCAUGACUUCAGAGGAGCAGUGGUCUGAAAAGAGCAGGUUGUUGCAACUCACGUGCCAUUUGAAGUGAAAGGCCAACAAGCCAGUUUCACCUCACCUCAUCUCUGAGAGAAGUUGUGUGUUGUUUUUUUGUUUUUUCACAGCGGACUUUGCUAAAACGUACCAACACAAUGCACCAGAUUUUCUUUGAGUAAUUGUAUAAAGAGUUGAUGAGCUGAUAUAUACAGUACUGUGCAAAAGUAAGAGACCACCUUUCAUGUAUUUAAUUUCAUUUCCACAUGGCCAUUAAGUACAAGCUAUUUUUAAGUUUCUGGAAGAAAAGCAGGAAACACACACUCCUAAUAAAAAGAUGAUUCUUCAAGGGUUGUUUAGUAAAGACAGUGGUUUUAUAAAGCACUAAAAAGGUGCUGCUACUGGUGUGACAUCAAGCUUAUAACAACAGAAGAACCCUUUUUGAUAUAUAGCCUAUUUGGUAUAUUUGCUAUAUAUAGAACCAUUUUCAAAAAGGUUCUAAGUAGAACCAUAUACAACACAUUCUACAUCAAUGUAAUGAACCUUUUCAGCAGGCAAAUGGUUCUUUGAGUCUUCAUGGUUCUAUAUAGAACCAUUGUCUUUACUAAGGACCCUAGAAGAACCUUCUUUUUUAAGAGUGUAUAUUUCAAAGAAAAGCUUUAAAACUAAACAUAAUAUCAUUUUUUACAAUAUUUAAAAAAAUGUAAUGUGUCAGUCCUUUUACAGCUUCUACUCUUUUUAAGAAACUUGCUUUCACUUUUUCAAAGAAAUCUGCAGGGAUAUUGUUCACUAUUAGAAGUUAGUUGCAUUUUCUGCGUCUCAAUCUCAGUUAAAUAUUGAGACUUAUCCAUGCAUGAAACCUUAUUUCACACCUCAGAUGUCCAGUUUCUAAUUUCCAGAUCAAAUUGUCAUCUUUUUGUCCGUUUCCUUUUCUCAGUGAGGGCUUCUUGAUAGCUACACAUCCUUUCAGACUGAUAGCAUUGAGUUGCGUUCUCACAGUGGAAGGAUGGACAUAAACACCUGUUGAUUUUUUUUAGGUCUGAAGCAAGAGUGGAGCUUGAUUUUCUACUGUCUAUUGGAAAUGAAAGCUUUAAAUGCUGUUUAUCUGAUGGUGACAGAUUUUAUUGGUCUGCCAGGUCUGGCAGGGUUGUUAGGGGUUCCAUUUUCUCUGUAUCUUUUAAUAAUUUUUUGAACUCCAGUUUUGGAAUUUCCUGUUUUUUCACUUUUUUCCUGUAGACUCUCUAUAAGUACCUGUCACUUUCAGCUUAGUAAACAGAGCAGAAGCCAAAGAUGUAAUAUUGUAUGUUUAAGGAAAUGUGUCCAGAACAGGUUGUUCUGCCUGUUGAGUAUUUCAUAGGCAGGCUGAAUCAAUUAUCCUGUUUCCUCCUCAUCUGCUGCAGGGAAAGAUUCGAGCUCUCUUUACAUCUGCCUGAACAUUCACUCACUCCACCGCAUAGAUUUGUUUUGUCAGCAUGACAAUGUGUGCUGUAUUGCAUAGAGGCUCCAGCCAGUCCUCAGGACUCCCAACCGAUCUAUGUUUUGUUGCAGCACUAUUAUUCCUGUAAUGGAAGUCUUAGAAGUUGGUUGCAAUUUCUGCUUCUCCUGAUCCAAAUAAUCCCAAAAACAAAUUUAUACUCAUUGGUAAACCCUAAAACCCUACUCCACUCCAUCUCAGGUUUCAGUGUGUUUCAGAUGCUAGCUUUCUUCUUUUUUUCUUUUUCUCAGCAUAGUCCAGCUUGACCAGCUAAACCAGCACAAGACCAGCACAAACCAGCAUAAAACAGCUCUGUGCUGUUUUUUUUUUUCAGUAAGGGCUUCUUGACAGCUACACAUCCUUCCAGACUCAUAUGAGUUGUCUUCUCACAGUGGAAGGAUGGACAGAAACAUCUGUAUAUUUUUUCAGAUCUGAAGCAAGAGUGGAGCUUGAUUUUCUCCUCUCUCUCAAAUAUGAAAGCUUUAAAGUUUUGGUGACAGUUUUUUGGUCUGCCAGGUUUUGCAGGGUUGUUAAGAGUCCAAUUUUCUCUGUAUCUUGUAAUAUGGAUUAAUUUAUAUCUCAUCUCCUCAGAAAAAUAUCCUUUAAGCAUUUUAGAUGCACAUCAGUAAGACAUUUGGGCAGUUAAGGUGUCUUUGGGUAGUUGCUUGUGUGAAUGUUAGUGAACGAAUGUUAGGGAACAUAAUGUCAGUAGGAGCUUUGGGAACAGCUUUUAUUGGGAGGAUAUAGUAUGUUGGUUUUAAGAUUGGAAGGAUAGAAGAGUUAAAGUGGCAACAGAGGUCAAAAGUGAAGAGUGGACAAAUUAAAUACUGAUAGAUUUGAUUUUGUACUUUGUGUAAUUUUCUGUUCAAAGUAUGUGUACUGCUUCUUUCUAACACACAAAAAUCAAUAACUUGCACAUUAUGCUUGUUUUGACUUAACAUUAAGUAAAAGAACAUGUGGUCUUUGACUUUUGCACACAGUACUGUAUGCCUGCAGAAGUUGCCAGAGAAGUUCUCAAUUGUUUUGCCUGAGGAAACAAAUAUAAUGUUCUAUUUUACCAACUCUGAACCUUUACAGUGGGUCUCAGACAGUGGGCCAGUAUUUAUUUCAGAUUAUUGUGAAGUCUUGAUCUUAAUAUGUAUUUUAUUAUGUCAUUUUUGUUCAACUGGUGAUGCAUGUGUAAGAAUUUUGUCAUUUUUUUAGUUCUGUAACAACAAAUAUAAAUCUGACAUAAAAUGCUGCUUUCAUUUCCAGUGCUAAUAACUUAGAUCUCCGCUGUCUCCGAGUAGAGAAACUCCCAGCUGCAAAAGCGAGGCUUUCAUAAAGUGCAAAGCGUACAUAUUACAUUCAGAAAAUACUCUCUGAGCUCUUGUAAUAAACAGACUGCAUUUCAGGGUCACUUUA
This is an RNA transcript of Colossoma macropomum (tambaqui), 6997 nucleotides long. It is a transcript of the gene named sema domain, immunoglobulin domain (Ig), transmembrane domain (TM) and short cytoplasmic domain, (semaphorin) 4Ga, with no coding region annotated. The transcript has 16 exons. NCBI's taxonomy places the organism in Eukaryota, Metazoa, Chordata, Actinopteri, Characiformes, Serrasalmidae. The record is from RefSeq and is a predicted model, not a curated record.